This 21-nucleotide non-coding RNA is filed under the name Arabidopsis thaliana (thale cress). Lineage: Eukaryota; Viridiplantae; Streptophyta; Magnoliopsida; Brassicales; Brassicaceae. The record is from RNAcentral.
UAAGUCUCAUCCUCACACGUA